Molecule: ribosomal RNA, 425 nt
Filed under: uncultured bacterium
Lineage: Bacteria
Description: partial 16S ribosomal RNA
Rfam family: Bacterial small subunit ribosomal RNA
Source: RNAcentral
GUGGGGAAUCUUGCGCAAUGGGCGAAAGCCUGACGCAGCCAUGCCGCGUGAAUGAUGAAGGUCUUAGGAUUGUAAAAUUCUUUCACCGGGGACGAUAAUGACGGUACCCGGAGAAGAAGCUCCGGCUAACUUCGUGCCAGCAGCCGCGGUAAUACGAAGGGGGCUAGCGUUGCUCGGAAUUACUGGGCGUAAAGGGCGCGUAGGCGGACAGCUUAGUCAGAGGUGAAAGCCCAGGGCUCAACCUUGGAAUUGCCUUUGAUACUGGCUGUCUUGAGUUUGGGAGAGGUGACUGGAAUUCCGAGUGUAGAGGUGAAAUUCGUAGAUAUUCGGAGGAACACCAGUGGCGAAGGCGGCUCACUGGCUCGAUACUGACGCUGAGGUGCGAAAGCGUGGGGAGCAAACAGGAUUAGAUACCCCGGUAGUCC